Piliocolobus tephrosceles (Ugandan red Colobus) is the source of this 1459-nucleotide RNA transcript. It is a transcript of the gene named FGFR1 oncogene partner 2 homolog, with no coding region annotated. The transcript is spliced from 6 exons. Lineage: Eukaryota; Metazoa; Chordata; Mammalia; Primates; Cercopithecidae. The record is from RefSeq and is a predicted model, not a curated record.
AUGAGUUGCACAAUUGAUAAUGCACUUGCUGAUGCUAAAACUAUUGUUGAAAGAUUAAGAGAUCACAACGAUGCAGCAGAGUCUCUGAUUGAGCAAACCACAACUCUCAACAAGCAGUAGAAGCCAUGAAGCAGUAUCAGGAAGAAAUUCAAGAACUUAAUGAAGUCACAAGACAUCGGCCAUGGUCCACAUUAGUUAUGGGAAUCCAGCAAGAAGGGAGACAUAUCAGAGAAUUGCAACAAGAAACAAAAGAAUUGUGUACGUCCCUGGAAGAACAUCAGUCAGCCUUGGAACUUAUAAUGAGCAAGUAUAGACAACAAAUGUUUAGAUUGCUACUGGCUAGCAAAAAAGAUGAUCCAGGAAUAAUGAAGAAGUUAACAAGAGCAGCACUCCAAGGAACUGCAAGCACAUGUUGACCAGAUAACUGAAGUGGCAGCAGUAAUGAAAAAAGCCAUUGAAAUUGACAAGCAACAGGGUUGCAAGGAACAAGAACUAAUAUUUCAACUUGAACAAGAAAACAAAGGCUUGAGAGAGAUCCUUCAAAUAACUCGAGAAUCAUUUUUGAGCCUAAGGAAAGAUGAUGUGUCGGAAAGUACUUUGUCAGCAUUAGUGACCAACAGUGACUUGAGUCUGAGGAAGAGCUGAAGAGCUUCUGAGUCUGAGCUUCUUACAUGGCUCCAAAUGGUCAAAUAAGUGAAUGAGUGAAUGAACAGAAAAUUCAAUCCUUUAUUUUUUUCUCUUUAAAUAUGUACAGUGCACUGGCUAUGAGAGCAACAAAGAUGCAUAGUUAAUGGUCAUAGACUUUAUUCCAAAACAUAAUUGGAAAAUAGAAACUGAGCCAUUGCCAAUUGGUAAAGAAAUGAAAGGUUUUCACAGUGACUACUGAAUACACCAAGACUACUGAAUACACCGACUUUUGGCCAUGCUGCUGGCUUUCUGGGUGAUUGAUUAGAAUCUCCCUGGAAAAGAAGACAUGAAUAUCUGCAAUGAUACUUCCUGAUAAGAAGUUGAUACAAGAAAAGGAAAGGAGAUUGACAGCUAGUGAGCAGAAUUUCCAACAGCAGGAUUUAGUAUUUUUUGCUUCUAACUACACACUUCCAUUGCCCACUUUUGAAUCAGAGAUACCUACACUCAAAAUCCAGACAAGGCAAAAGGAUACUUUUCUUGUAUAUUUUUUGAGAUCUAAGAAACGGCAAUGUCCAGGAAACAGAGCCAGAAGGAUUCAUCAGGAUUCAUCUUUGAUUUACAGUCCAAUACUGUACUGGCCCAGGGAGGGGCUUUUGAGAACAUGAAAGAGAAGAUAAAUGCGGUACGUGCAAUAGUUCCCAAUAAGAGCAACAAUGAAAUCAUCCUGGUUUUGCAGCACUUUGAUAACUGUGUGGACAAAACAGUACAAGCAUUCAUGGAAGGUAGUGCCAGUGAAGUACUCAAAGAAUGGACAGUAACAGGCAAGAAAAAG